AUCAGGCCCUCCCAACCGUAGAAUAAAAAAUGAGAAUCCUCCAUCCUUUACUAACAAAAGAGAGAGAUAUCUCCAUCCUUCUCCUUGUUAUGGGCUGUAGUAGGUGGUGGCCAUGCCUAUCUCUUUCACCUGUACACUUAAAUAAACUUGCACACUGUUACAAUUCUAAGUAUCGAAGAACUGAUGUGAUUGGUCAAAUUUACACAAAGAAAAAUAAUAGCUUUUAUGAAUGAAAGAGAAAUGUGUUUAUAGAACGUGUGUAACGGUGGAAUUCAUAGUCGUAGUAGGGGGCCCCUAAGGGGAUUAUUCAGCCGCUAUGUGUCGAAUUCAACCCCCACGCGUUUCAUAGACAAAAGAAACCCCUCAUUUGACAGGAGCUGGCGGCUGACUGCUGAAUUACCGAUAUUUGUCAGCCAAACCAUCCCCUGGCAUUUUUUUUUGUUGUUAUUCGUGAUUUAUUUAUUAGAAAGUGGACUUGGAAAGUGUUAAGACUGUGUAUAAACAGCGAGUUAUAUCAGUAUCCAAGAUAAAUAUUCGCAAUUGCGUAAAUCCAGUUUAAUACUAUGGCGUUAUGGAAUGUACGAAAGAUUCUCAUAUUAGGCAUAAUAUGCCUCUGUUUGAUGAAGAAUGAACACAGAAGACCCAAGAGAGGAAUACCAAUACCGCUAUUAUUAUGCAUUCUAGCAGCACUUCGAUUCUAUGUAACGGGAUGUUUCCAGACUGUAUGUGCAGUCCAUCAAGCAUUCUAUGAAAUAACAGAAAUGCCACAAAUCAACCUGUAUUGAUGGCAGACAUAGGUAUACAUAUAAACAACCCCGGAGGACCCUAUACACAGAUUUAAAGAAACCGGCUAUCAUGGCAGGGAAUAGCAGUGAUGAGCUCUGAGAAUACUGUUUUACCAAGAAUACUGAGAAUACUUUGGUCCUUGAAAAUCCGAGUUUUCAGAUCACAGUAAUUGGAAGACCCACAUACCUUGAAAAGUCAGCAGCAUUUAAUAUCGAGGUAGUAGGAGUGAGUGCAAUGUAUUGUAAGGUGGUCACUCACUCUGAAGUCCAUAACAAUAGAAAAUAUAUACAAAUCUUAAUUGAAUGAAUGAUGGAAAAUAAAAAUUUAUUGAUUCACAUCUUUAAUAAAGAUUAUUAUUAAAUGUUUA
This is a long non-coding RNA of Bicyclus anynana (squinting bush brown), 1153 nucleotides long. RefSeq lists it as uncharacterized. NCBI's taxonomy places the organism in Eukaryota, Metazoa, Arthropoda, Insecta, Lepidoptera, Nymphalidae. The record is from RefSeq and is a predicted model, not a curated record. The transcript has 2 exons.